CCACCAUCGAAGUACUAAUAGCAGCCGUCCCACGUCCGCACUUGCACCUGACCCUGAGACUGAAUCUGACCCGGAACAAACAACAAUCCGGCAUCCUCCCCGGGUCGGAUCCCGCUCUGCUCGUGUCCAUCGCUUCUCCUUUACGUCUUGCUCCUCUCUCUUGCCAAAACCAAAAAAUUCAUCCACGGAAAAUCCGCAGAAACAAAUAACGGUUUUGGGAGCGGAAGUCGCUGAAAAGCCGCAGACGCAAUUCACCGUUUUGGAAAACAACAACGGAGCUGACGCUGAAGAAGAGGAAGAGGAGGAGGAGGAGAAACAAAAGCAAGAAGAGGAAGAAGGCAAUUCGAGGCCGUGGAAAUUGAGGCCAAG
Molecule: unclassified non-coding RNA, 369 nt
Filed under: Hevea brasiliensis (rubber tree)
Lineage: Eukaryota; Viridiplantae; Streptophyta; Magnoliopsida; Malpighiales; Euphorbiaceae
Source: RNAcentral